RNAcentral lists this unclassified non-coding RNA (400 nucleotides) under soil metagenome. Its description in RNAcentral is "partial contains 5.8S ribosomal RNA, internal transcribed spacer 2, and large subunit ribosomal RNA". The stretch from base 1 to 122 matches the Rfam family "5.8S ribosomal RNA", at positions 35 to 154 of the family's 154-position model. The record is from RNAcentral.
GAUGAAGAACGUAGCGAAAUGCGAUACUUGGUGUGAAUUGCAGAAUCCCGUGAACCAUCGAGUCUUUGAACGCAAAUUGCGCCUCAAGCCAUUAGGUUGAGGGCACGUCUGCCUGGGCGUCACAUAUCGUUGCCUGAUGCCAGUUUCCUCGUGAUGGGUGACUGUGCAGGGCGAAUGAUGGCUUCCCGUGAGCAUUGUUGCCUCAUGGUUGGUUGAAAAUUGAGUCCUUGGUAGGGAGCGCCGUGAUAGAUGGUGGUUGAGUGACGAACGAGACCCAAUCAUGUGAGACCCCUACCGAAUUUGGCCUUCAUGACCCACAUGCGUCUUUGGAACGCUCAUGACGAGACCUCAGGUCAGGCGGGGCUACCCGCUGAGUUUAAGCAUAUCAAUAAGCGGAGGA